Molecule: ribosomal RNA, 770 nt
Filed under: uncultured bacterium
Lineage: Bacteria
Description: bacterial SSU rRNA
Rfam family: Bacterial small subunit ribosomal RNA
Source: RNAcentral
CGCACAGCGAAAGGUGCUUGCACCUUUCAAGUGAGUGGCGAACGGCCGAUUAACACGUGGACAACCUGCCUCAAGGCUGGGGAUAACAUCUGGAAACAGAUGCUAAUACCGAAUAAAACUUAGUGUCGCAUGACACAAAGUUAAAAGGCGCUUCGGCGUCACCUAGAGAUGGAUCCGCGGUGCAUUAGUUAGUUGGUGGGGUAAAGGCCUACCAAGACAAUGAUGCAUAGCCGAGUUGAGAGACUGAUCGGCCACAUUGGGACUGAGACACGGCCCAAACUCCUACGGGAGGCUGCAGUAGGGAACCUUCCACAAUGGGCGAAAGCCUGAUGGAGCAACGCCGCGUGUGUGAUGAAGGCUUUCGGGUCGUAAAGCACUGUUGUAUGGGAAGAACAGCUAGAAUAGGAAAUGAUUUUAGUUUGACGGUACCAUACCAGAAAGGGACGGCUAAAUACGUGCCAGCAGCCGCGGUAAUACGUAUGUCCCGAGCGUUAUCCGGAUUUAUUGGGCGUAAAGCGAGCGCAGACGGUUUAUUAAGUCUGAUGUGAAAGCCCGGAGCUCAACUCCGGAAUGGCAUUGGAAACUGGUUAACUUGAGUGCAGUAGAGGUAAGUGGAACUCCAUGUGUAGCGGUGGAAUGCGUAGAUAUAUGGAAGAACACCAGUGGCGAAGGCGGCUUACUGGACUGCAACUGACGUUGAGGCUCGAAAGUGUGGGUAGCAAACAGGAUUAGAUACCCUGGUAGUCCACACCGUAAAACGAUGAACACUA